CGCAGUGUAGCUCAGAUGGAUAGAGCGCUGGUUUUCGUCAGUUGAAAUUCAAUUGGAUCAGUAGGUCACAGGUUCGAGUCCUGUCACUGCGC
RNAcentral lists this transfer RNA (92 nucleotides) under Maritalea mobilis. RNAcentral describes it as "tRNA-Arg". It matches the Rfam family "tRNA". Rfam says of the family: Transfer RNA (tRNA) molecules are approximately 80 nucleotides in length. Their secondary structure includes four short double-helical elements and three loops (D, anti-codon, and T loops). Further hydrogen bonds mediate the characteristic L-shaped molecular structure. tRNAs have two regions of fundamental functional importance: the anti-codon, which is responsible for specific mRNA codon recognition, and the 3' end, to which the tRNAs corresponding amino acid is attached (by aminoacyl-tRNA synthetases). tRNAs cope with the degeneracy of the genetic code in two manners: having more than one tRNA (with a specific anti-codon) for a particular amino acid; and 'wobble' base-pairing, i.e. permitting non-standard base-pairing at the 3rd anti-codon position. Lineage: Bacteria; Pseudomonadati; Pseudomonadota; Alphaproteobacteria; Hyphomicrobiales; Devosiaceae. The record is from RNAcentral.